This 439-nucleotide ribosomal RNA is filed under the name uncultured bacterium. RNAcentral describes it as "partial 16S ribosomal RNA". It matches the Rfam family "Bacterial small subunit ribosomal RNA", at positions 339 to 795 of the family's 1533-position model. The record is from RNAcentral.
CUACGGGUUGCACCAGUGAGGAAUAUUGCACAAUGGAGGAAACUCUGAUGCAGCAACGCCGCGUGGAGGAUGACGCAUUUCGGUGUGUAAACUCCUUUUAUAUGUCAAGAAAAUGACGGUAGCAUAUGAAUAAGCACCGGCUAACUCCGUGCCAGCAGCCGCGGCAAUACGGAGGGUGCAAGCGUUACUCGGAAUCACUGGGCGUAAAGGACGCGUAGGCGGGAUAUCAAGUCAGGUGUGAAAUCCUACAGCUUAACUGUAGAACUGCACUUGAAACUGGUAACCUAGAGUAUGGGAGGGGGAGAUGGAAUUAGUGGUGUAGGGGUAAAAUCCGUAGAUAUCACUAGGAAUACCUAAAGCGAAGGCGAUCUCCUGGAACAUUACUGACGCUAAGGCGUGAAAGCGUGGGGAGCAAACAGGAUUAGAUACCCUUGUAGUC